Molecule: ribosomal RNA, 580 nt
Filed under: uncultured Bacteroidota bacterium
Lineage: Bacteria; Pseudomonadati; Bacteroidota
Description: bacterial SSU rRNA
Rfam family: Bacterial small subunit ribosomal RNA
Source: RNAcentral
CCAAGCGAAAGUGAUAAGUGUCCCACCUGGGGAGUACGUUCGCAAGAAUGAAACUCAAAGGAAUUGACGGGGGCCCGCACAAGCGGUGGAGCAUGUGGUUUAAUUCGAUGAUACGCGAGGAACCUUACCAGGGCUUAAAUGUAGUGGGACAGGCUUAGAGAUAGGCUUUUCUUCGGACUCAUUACAAGGUGCUGCAUGGUUGUCGUCAGCUCGUGCCGUGAGGUGUCAGGUUAAGUCCUAUAACGAGCGCAACCCUUACCGUUAGUUGCCAGCGAGUCAAGUCGGGGACUCUAACGGGACUGCCGGUGCAAACCGUGAGGAAGGUGGGGAUGACGUCAAAUCAUCACGGCCCUUACGUCCUGGGCUACACACGUGCUACAAUGGCCGGUACAAUGAGCAGCCACUGCGCAAGCAGGAGCGAAUCUAUAAAACCGGUCACAGUUCGGAUCGGGGUCUGCAACCCGACCCCGUGAAGCUGGAAUCGCUAGUAAUCGGAUAUCAGCCAUGAUCCGGUGAAUACGUUCCCGGGCCUUGUACACACCGCCCGUCAAGCCAUGGAAGCCGGGAGUGCCUGAAGUCC